This 1179-nucleotide long non-coding RNA is filed under the name Felis catus (domestic cat). RNAcentral's name for it is "lncRNA (ENSFCAG00000051922.1)". The record is from RNAcentral. Lineage: Eukaryota; Metazoa; Chordata; Mammalia; Carnivora; Felidae.
CUGCCAGAGUAGGAAAAGAGGCCGUAGGUCCCUGUGGGGAAACUCACCGUAAGGAGAGAGGAAUGAAGAUUAGUAUCUUGGAAUCAGCAUCUGGGUCUGAGCUGUGUUAGCGGAAUGAUUACCUGCGGUUGUGUGCAAAGCCUUUGUUAGGCUAACGCUUGAAGAUGAAAGUGUUCUGAAUGUUCCUUGGAGAAAAAUGUGAAAAAUAUAUGAAUGCACAUGAGUUUAAGAUUCUUUCAAGAAAAUGGUCGUAAUUUUGCAACGUCUUUUUAUACAGGAAAACAAAGAUACAGGAACUGAAUUGAACCACAAGAAGGGUAUCCUCCUUUUCCUUUCAUUUACAGUGAUAAUAGCCAUCACAGUAGAGAAUGGAGAUUCCCAACAUACUGGAGAGCUUUCAGUUUUUCCUCUGGGAGGUAUUUGUGUUCAUGACGCGUCCUUUUCACUCAGUUGUUGUGUGGGGAUAUGCGCCAGUCUUUAAGUUUCAAGAAUGUUGGAAAAUAUGGGAAUAUUAACCUAAAAAAGAACAAGAAGACUAAACAAACAAACAGCAUCUUCAUUUAAAGAAUUUAUUUACAAUAAGCAUGCAAAUCCUUUUUUGGCUCCUUGGAAAGUCUGAGACUUAUCAAUUUUCUAGAAUUUCAUAUCAGGCUGAAAGAAAUAUGCUGUGAAUUAUUGUAAAACACAUAAAUUUAUUUUGGCAGGUCUUUUUAAAUUUUUUUUUUAAUGUUUAUUUAUUUUUGAGAGAUAGAGACAGAGCAUGAGCAGGGAAGGGGCAGGGAUAGAGGGAGACACAGGAUCUGAAACAGGCUCCAAGCUCCGAGCUGCCAGCACAGAGCCCAAUGCGGGGCUCGAACUCAUGAACCACGAGAUCAUGACCUGAGCCAAAGUCAGAUGCUCAACCGACAGAGCCACCCAGGCACACCUGUUUUAGCAGAUCUUUUAAACAGGAAUUUAAGGGGCGCCUGGGUGGCGCAGUCGGUUAAGCAUCCAAUUUCAGCCAGGUCAUGAUCUCUCAGCCCGUGAGUUCAAGCCCCGCGUCAGGCUCUGGGCCGAUAGCCCAGAGCCUGGAGCCUGUUUCCGAUUCUGUGUCUCCCUCUCUCUCUGCCCCUACCCCGUUCAUGCUCUGUCUCUCUCUGUCCCAAAAAUAAAUAAAAACGUUAAAAAUUUUUUUAAACA